Molecule: ribosomal RNA, 253 nt
Filed under: uncultured bacterium
Lineage: Bacteria
Description: partial 16S ribosomal RNA
Rfam family: Bacterial small subunit ribosomal RNA
Source: RNAcentral
UACGGAGGGGGUUAGCGUUGUUCGGAAUUACUGGGCGUAAAGCGCACGUAGGCGGAUUGACAAGUUGGGGGUGAAAGCCCGGGGCUCAACCCCGGAACUGCCUUUGAAACUAGAUUGCUAGAAUCCUGGAGAGGUGAGUGGAAUUCCGAGUGUAGAGGUGAAAUUCGUAGAUAUUCGGAAGAACACCAGUGGCGAAGGCGACUCACUGGACAGGUAUUGACGCUGAGGUGCGAAAGCGUGGGGAGCAAACAGG